GACGAACGCUGGCGGCGUGCUUAACACAUGCAAGUCGAACGAAGUGGCGAACGGGUGAGUAACGCGUAAUCAACCUGCCCUUCAGCGGGGGACAACAGGUGGAAACGACUGCUAAUACCGCAUACUGAAGGAGGGGCUUGCGUCUGAUUAGCUAGUUGGAGGGGUAACGGCCCACCAAGGCAAUGAUCAGUAGCCGGUCUGAGAGGAUGAACGGCCAAAUUGGGACUGAGAAACGGCCCAGACUCCUACGGGAGGCAGCAGGGGGGAAUCUUCCGCAAUGGAAGAAAGUCUUACGAAGCAACGCCGCGUGAGGGAUGACGGCCUUCGGGUUGGAAAGCUCUGUUAAUCGGGACGCGGUACCGGAAUAGAAAGCCACGGCUAACUACGUGCCAGCAGCCGCGGUAAUUC
Molecule: ribosomal RNA, 408 nt
Filed under: uncultured bacterium
Lineage: Bacteria
Description: partial 16S ribosomal RNA
Rfam family: Bacterial small subunit ribosomal RNA
Source: RNAcentral